This 464-nucleotide unclassified non-coding RNA is filed under the name Hevea brasiliensis (rubber tree). Lineage: Eukaryota; Viridiplantae; Streptophyta; Magnoliopsida; Malpighiales; Euphorbiaceae. The record is from RNAcentral.
GAGCUUGAUCCAAAUAUUAAUUUACUUACCGAGCAUUUUAUUCAGAUUCCAAUAAAAUCCAAUGCAAUUACAAUUACGAGACUAAAACUAAAUUAAUAAUGCUAGGAAAUCAUUAAGCUGAAGAAAAAGCAACCUUUGUGGGUGACAAAAAUGACUAAUUACUUAUUUUUAAUUAAUGUAAAGAAAAUGAAGAUCACAGAUACGUACAAAUUGUCAACAAAUUACAGAUCACUCUACAGCAAGAGUGGGGAUAGAGAGAAUUAGAAUUAUUACUUCCAUUAUUGUCAUGGUUUCUGGUUUCUGUGCUGUGCUCCUCUUCCUCAAGCUCAGUGUGAAAUAAAACUAAGGCGUUUUUCUUCGAUCCUUGUUCCUUUUACUUUCUUCUUCUUGAAAUAUCAAGCUGCAAGACGCAUCCUCUCUUUCUCCUCAGCUGCAAAAUACCAGAUCUGCCAAUCUGCCACAUU